Molecule: ribosomal RNA, 267 nt
Filed under: Thalassiosira minuscula
Lineage: Eukaryota; Bacillariophyta; Thalassiosirophyceae; Thalassiosirales; Thalassiosiraceae
Description: partial Bacterial large subunit ribosomal RNA
Rfam family: Bacterial large subunit ribosomal RNA
Source: RNAcentral
GCGCACGGUGGAUGCCUUGGCACCAGGAGCCGAUGAAGGACGUAGGAGGCUGCGAUAAGCCUCGGGGAGCUGUCAACCGAGCUGUGAUCCGAGGAUUUCCGAAUGGGGGAACCCGGCAGGAGUCAUGUCCUGUCACCCGCAUCUGAACACAUAGGGUGUGUGGAGGGAACGUGGGGAAGUGAAACAUCUCAUUACCCACAGGAAGAGAAAGCAACCGCGAUUCCGCGAGUAGUGGCGAGCGAAAGUGGAAGAGGCUAAACCGGGCAC